Vigna unguiculata (cowpea) is the source of this 508-nucleotide long non-coding RNA. RefSeq lists it as uncharacterized. NCBI's taxonomy places the organism in Eukaryota, Viridiplantae, Streptophyta, Magnoliopsida, Fabales, Fabaceae. The record is from RefSeq and is a predicted model, not a curated record.
CACAUUCAUCUUUUUCUUUCGACCUUGAAAUAUUUUCACCUCCUUGUUCAUAUUCAUUUUCAUCUUCUUCUUUUUUGCUUGAAACUUCAACCUUUCUUGAUGGACAAAUGGAUUGAUUUGUCAUACAGUAAUCUUUCUUCUUCAUCAAAAGUAGGAAUGGUUCGAAGGUUAGGGCUACUAUAUCGGAUGGACACCAAAAAAUGAUGAAUGGAUGGUUUCCACUCUUUCUUCUCUUUCGUAUCUUCAAAUUUCUCUGUUGGGUUUCUUUCUCUCCAAAUCUCCAUUGCAUGGAGGAUGAAAAUGAGAGCAAAGGUGGUGUUGGGUUCAAUGAUAGAAAGAAAAAGAUUUUACCGUGAAAACCUAAGGUAACGUAUUUCUAUAUUACCAACCAAAGUAAGGCUUUUGGAUUGUUGAAGUUGAUGUAAAAUGUCAAAUUUUUUGACUUUAUUUUUGCUUACAUGUGAUUUUAUUUUCAUAGUUUUGUGGGUUUGUAAUGUUUGUAUAGGAC